AUCACUUGUGUCUUAUAAUAUUUCACUGUAUUUUUACCAGGGUGAUGAGCUACAAAGCGCUGACUCUUGCUGGAGGCUGAUACUAUAACUGCAAUGGCAGGUGUACGAGUGAUUACAUACAUUUGGCUCUGAUCCCUCACAGCAAUGGAGAUCAGCGCAGAGCAGUGAAGUACAGCUCAGUCAGCCCAUCCUGGCCGUUCCAAGCAAAGGGGGCUGUAAUUAUCCGGAGCCAGUCAUCUCAGGAGGUCGGCUGGGGUUUGGGGAAUGUGUCCCCCUCCUCCACACCUCUGUUCUUUUCACCCUUCAACCCUCUUUCCAUCUCUCUCUUCUCCAGCAAAAGAGCAUUUCCUCAGCUGGAGCGCUCACACUGCCGCACCAGAGUGGACAAGACAGGCCGCUCAGUGUCCAUCUCAGUGAUGUGUUUAAGUAUGUGAAUGCAUAUUUGAAUGAUUCUGAAGGAUCAUGUAACACUGAAGACUGGAGUAAUGAUGCGUAUAUUUCGGCUUUGCCGUCACAGG
This is a long non-coding RNA of Rhinichthys klamathensis goyatoka, 518 nucleotides long. RefSeq lists it as uncharacterized. NCBI's taxonomy places the organism in Eukaryota, Metazoa, Chordata, Actinopteri, Cypriniformes, Leuciscidae. The transcript is spliced from 3 exons. The record is from RefSeq and is a predicted model, not a curated record.